Molecule: ribosomal RNA, 252 nt
Filed under: uncultured bacterium
Lineage: Bacteria
Description: partial 16S ribosomal RNA
Rfam family: Bacterial small subunit ribosomal RNA
Source: RNAcentral
UACGGAGGAUGCGAGCGUUAUCCGGAUUUAUUGGGUUUAAAGGGUGCGUAGGCGGACGCUUAAGUCAGCGGUAAAAUUGCGGGGCUCAACCUCGUCGAGCCGUUGAAACUGGGUGUCUUGAGUGGGCGAGAAGUACGCGGAAUGCGUGGUGUAGCGGUGGAAUGCAUAGAUAUCACGCAGAACUCCGAUUGCGAAGGCAGCGUACCGGCGCCCAACUGACGCUGAAGCACGAAGGCGUGGGUAUCGAACAGG